AUUGAACGCUGGCGGCAGGCCUAACACAUGCAAGUCGAGCGGAUGAAGGGAGCUUGCUCCUGGAUUCAGCGGCGGACGGGUGAGUAAUGCCUAGGAAUCUGCCCGGUAGUGGGGGAUAACGUCCGGAAACGGGCGCUAAUACCGCAUACGUCCUGAGGGAGAAAGUGGGGGAUCUUCGGACCUCACGCUAUCAGAUGAGCCUAGGUCGGAUUAGCUAGUUGGUGGGGUAAAGGCCUACCAAGGCGACGAUCCGUAACUGGUCUGAGAGGAUGAUCAGUCACACUGGAACUGAGACACGGUCCAGACUCCUACGGGAGGCAGCAGUGGGGAAUAUUGGACAAUGGGCGAAAGCCUGAUCCAGCCAUGCCGCGUGUGUGAAGAAGGUCUUCGGAUUGUAAAGCACUUUAAGUUGGGAGGAAGGGCAGUAAGUUAAUACCUUGCUGUUUUGACGUUACCAACAGAAUAAGCACCGGCUAA
This 477-nucleotide ribosomal RNA is filed under the name Pseudomonas aeruginosa. RNAcentral's name for it is "bacterial SSU rRNA". It matches the Rfam family "Bacterial small subunit ribosomal RNA", at positions 30 to 500 of the family's 1533-position model. The record is from RNAcentral. Lineage: Bacteria; Pseudomonadati; Pseudomonadota; Gammaproteobacteria; Pseudomonadales; Pseudomonadaceae.